UAUGUGAUCGUCUCUCGCAUAUCAAUAAGCGGAGGAAAAGAAACUAACAAGGAUUCCCCUAGUAACGGCGAGUGAAGCGGGAAGAGCUCAAAUUUGAAAUCUUGAAGGGUUUCCCUUUACGAAUUGUAGUUUAAAGAAGUGUUUUCUGUUGAGGUUUUGGUAAAAGUUCUUUGGAAUAGGACAUCAUAGAGGGUGAGAAUCCCGUAUUUGACCUUUACUUUCAACUUUGUGAUACACUUUCAAAGAGUCGGAUUGUUUGGGAAUGCAGUCCAAAAUGGGUGGUAAAUUUCAUCUAAAGCUAAAUAUUGGCGAGAGACCGAUAGCGAACAAGUACCGUGAGGAAAGAUGAAAAGAACUUUGAAAAGAGAGUUAAACAGUACGUGAAAUUGUCAAAAGGGAAGCGUUUGACACCAGUGUUGUUUUUCUGAAAAUCAAUUAAAGAACUGUUUAUGCUAAGCUGUUUAGACUUUAUCAGCUAAUCUGUUUAGUUUUGAGCUUUUCUUUAAUGCACUUUUCAGUUAACAAGUCAACAUCAAUUUCUUUUGCUGUAAAAAAGCUUGAGGAAGGUGGCUUGAGAUUCGUCUUAAGUGUUUAUAGCCUCUUGCCUAUGCAGUCGGAGAGAUUGAGGUCUGCAGCGUAGAUCCUUCGGGGCUAAAUGCAUUUGUGCUAAGUUAUAGCAUUUUAUAGACAACUUGUUGACUAUGAUUUGUCUUGUAGCUUACUCGCUUAUGUUAUUUUACCUACGCUUAGGAUGUUGAUCUACAGAGCGAGAGU
This 774-nucleotide ribosomal RNA is filed under the name uncultured Neocallimastigales. RNAcentral describes it as "partial large subunit ribosomal RNA". It matches the Rfam family "Eukaryotic large subunit ribosomal RNA", at positions 24 to 635 of the family's 3401-position model. Lineage: Eukaryota; Fungi; Neocallimastigomycota; Neocallimastigomycetes; Neocallimastigales. The record is from RNAcentral.